This 263-nucleotide long non-coding RNA is filed under the name Medicago truncatula (barrel medic). RNAcentral describes it as "long non-coding RNA (MTRU_LNC002762)". Lineage: Eukaryota; Viridiplantae; Streptophyta; Magnoliopsida; Fabales; Fabaceae. The record is from RNAcentral.
GACUGCAGAAAGAAAAAAUUCGGUUGGAGAAGGGUUAGAAAAAUUAAUGAGGGCAGGGAUGGAAUUAAUAGAAUUGAGGGUGUAGAAUUGAUUCUAGGAAAGUAAGAAGCUAGGAAUUGUAGCUUCAACUAGAAUUGCUUUUGGAGGAUAAAAGCUAUUUUGAAAAGUCAAACCAAACAUGUUAAAUAUUGCAGAAUUGCUUUUGAAAUGCUCCAGAAUUGAUUCUGGCUUUGCAAAAGCCAAACCAAACAGAGGCUAAGUUA